Herpailurus yagouaroundi (jaguarundi) is the source of this 114-nucleotide long non-coding RNA. RefSeq lists it as uncharacterized. The record is from RefSeq and is a predicted model, not a curated record. Lineage: Eukaryota; Metazoa; Chordata; Mammalia; Carnivora; Felidae. The transcript is spliced from 3 exons.
GCGGGUCUGAGGGCCUGCAGCCCGACAGCAGCGGUGGCGCCCGCGGCCCCUGAGCCAACUGAGGACGCGGCCGCGAGGCGGCCACGCCCAGAGGAAAGCAACAGAGAAUGAACG